CAUCCCUUGUUCUAAACUUUCUCUUUCUUAACACAUGCGUGGCACACGAGGAGCCGCCUCCAACUCCCAAGCCGACGGCGGCAAUGGCGCGGCCGCGCGGGAGAGGCGAGGCGCGGCGGCGGCGGGUACUGGGCGAGGGAAGAGCCGAUCUUCUUCGCCUACACGUGGACAGGAUACGGCGUUCACAUACUAAAGUGGUAUAAUCGCUUCGAUCGAAUCGUUUUUUCUAGGCUUGGAGCGCGUGGAUUUGUAGUCUCCUCACUCAGUUGGGGCGCGUUCGCGUACAUCCGUGUUGGUGUUCUCGAAUCUGGAAUGGAGGAGAGAGUGGAGGAAAUUUGCAGCUAGGGUUCGUGUUUGGGAUGCUAGUGUUUGGAAUUUGCCAAUAUUCGGAUUGAUGGCCCGGCUCUCCGACCUAUUUCGUACUAGUAGAAAUUAUUCUCCAAUAUGCGACCUACAAUGUGCGACCCUUUAAGCAUGUCGAUGAUUACUAUGGUUCAAUCAGCUUUGGUGUGGUUUCUUUUGAUUAGCAUUGGCUAUUUGGGCUUCAGUUCUGAUUGGUUCCGUCAGGACUGUUCAGUCAUGUUGCUUGCCGUGGUGGAGGAGACGCUUCGAAAGUCUGAUCGAGGCAUUGCAUUGGUUAAUGGUUGGUCUAGAAGAGGGGCAAAUUUAUUGAGAUGUCACUGUUUGCUGAAUUGAUAUGGCCUUCAUGUUUGCCAUCGAUUGCAUCAUAUUUUCAGUUUUUUUUUUCGAGGCUCCUUGUCAAGAAUUGUGCCAUUCUGCACCUGCUCAGAUGCAUGAUAGGUAGAAUUUUGUUUAGCUCAAGUUCUCGUAUCCUUUUGCAGCUGCCAUCAUAUCCUACUAGAAAAACUAGCUGUAAUUUAUUUUAAUUAAUGUCCUCCAUUAACUAGUUGAUAUGUUCUUUUCCAUAUUCAAAUAUUUAUGGGUCACUUUCUGAUGAAGUUUUAUGAUAUCUGUCAUGCUACUGAGCCCAAGCUUCAUAUAGACCCCAAUUUAAGAACAUGAGUGGUAUGUGAAGUCAUACCUUGGGAAUCUAUCAUGAUAAGAUUGGCUAAGUUAUGCGAUGAGUCUAGGACACAUUCAUCCAUUGAAUUCUGUUGUCGCAUAUGAGUUUUUAGUUUUCCUAGUCUCACGGACCCACUUCAGUUAAUUGCUUUGGUUUGCAUUAUUUAGUUGAUGUUGAUAGAAACUCAAACAAGUUAAGUUCAUAUUGUUUACAGCCUUUCACUUGGUUUAAUUUUGAACAAUACUCAUUUUGGAGUUUGGACAAUAUUAGCAAAAUCUGCAAUAUGAAUUUUCAUGAAAUAUAUAUUCGGUGUCAAUGAUAAGUUCAUGGAAGGUUGAUGGGAGAGAAAGUAGUAUAGUACUUCCUCCGUUUCACAAUGUAAGUCUUUCUAGCUUUGCCCACAUUCAUAUAGAUGUUAAUGAAUGGCUAUAGAGUUUUCCCAGAUGCCACAGCAGAUUAAUGCUAUUCCAGAGUGCUGUCAUAAUAUUGCACUGGUUUGUUGGUUUCAUGAUAAAAUUGCUCGUUGUUUUGCUUUGCUAACCUCUUUUUUGCAUAACUGAUGCAAGUUGCAUUAUCUGUUGAGAGGAAAUACGCAGAUAAACUAGUUUGCUCUGUGGACAUUUGUCCCAUGUGCACUGUUUGAUGUCAUGGCUGGACUGCUAGAUGGACAAAGCACUUGCCCCACAUGCAUAGCUUCAAUUAUUCUCUAGUAAUUCACAUGUUUAUGGCGUCAUUACAGAACUUGGUAAGAUUACUUUCAUUGCCUUUAUUUUUCGUGUUCCAACUUCAGUAGUCCAAAUCAGUUGAGUGGUAUGUUAAGAAAAUGCAUACCAUUCAUCUCUUUGAGUUCAUUAGGAAGUGACUUUGUCAUUAUGUACUCUAGUUCUCAGCGCCACUCCUGGUUUCUGUUAAAAGUUGAGGUCUUUGCACCUGGUUUUCUGUCAAAAGAAAUCUUAUUGCAUGGUUUCCUUACUGAUUCUCUGCGCACUAUUGUUAUAAUAUAAAUCUAUUGAAUCAAUCUGUAAAUAAUUCUCUUAUUUUAUGUCAUUCAUUUUACAACAUUUUACUAUGGAAGUACCUUUGCAACAUGUACUUGCAUCACCGUGAAAGGAGUAUGGGGAAGGCAACCUGCCAACUUCUGCUAUUGAUCCAAGCAACUCUCACUUGUUUAUCUUCAGAGUGAUUUUGCAGCUAAAGAAUAUGCAUUUUUCCAGAUUUUACAAGUUCAGUUCCGAAUACUUCAGGCUUCCAACCGAAGAAAUACAGUGCUAUUACUACAUCAAGAGUAGCUGACAGUGACACCCAGAAAUUAACUGAAGCUAUGCAUAGGGGACGAUCAACUUGCUCCAGAAGGCUACAAACCAUAAGCAUGUUCACAGGCACAUACAUUGUUGGUAGUUUGCUCUCAUUCUUUUUUUAGAAAAACGAAAACUCUCAUUCAUUUAACGUGGAAAUUUGUCAGGUUAGGCCACCAUUGGAGGUGUCAUGGCUAAGAGUAAUUAGUACUGCAGCAGACUAAUUUUCAGGAUCAUCUGGUGAAACGUACACUUACUGCAUAUAUGAUUUAUAUCCAUCUCUGGCCCCAUUUUAUGUACAUUUGUUUUCUUCAAGAGCAACCUACCAAUAAUAUAUUUCUCCAGCAUCUGCGCCGUAUCAGCUCUUAUGCUGGGUUUCUUAACAAAUCACUAAACUCAGGUACAGGUAGGCAAGUGACAGCCUACAAUGUGGAGGGGCCCUUGCUGAAACCUAUAAUAACUACCAACCAGAAUUGGUAGCAUUGGAUACCUGCACUGCAUUCCAGUGUUGCAACUAACAUUUUGUUUUGAGUUGGCACUUUUCUGGACACCUUUAGGAAUGAUUAUGUCCACUUGUGUCCUCUGCUUGAACCUUUGGGGCAGCUAUCGAUCUCAUUUAUUCAGGUCUGAUCAAUCUGUGAUGCCUGAACCUCCCUGAAGUGAAAGGUGCUCUAUCGUGAUCUACUAACCUGAGACAUCUUGUCAUAUGGGGAGAAGUUUCAUUUGCUGUGUCAUGAGACCAGCGAGGAAAUAAGGCACAUAUAGUUUCAUUGUCAUGCCAGCCAGAGCGAAGACAGUUAUCUUGAAGUUGCUUAAUGUACUGGAAAUCGUGAAUGGUUCAAUGAGGCAUGGAAGUCGUCGGCGCUGUCCCUGUAUUUAGGCUUUCUUUUUUUCUACGGUAAUCCGUUGAAGUCUCUUGUCGAUGUUACAUUUUAUAUAUUGUUCUAUACUGGUGGUUCGUUCAUUUGUGUUUCCAUUAUGUUGAGCAGUUGAAAACGUGUGUACUGCGUGCCCUGUCUGUUGUAAAAAUAUUAAUAUAUUUUCUUUCUGUGAUUACUGGAAACACCUAUGCAAAUGCAAGGAGAUUAGGAGAGGAGGCAAUCAGACACCUAAUCACCACAUGUAUUUUAUACGCUGCAAUGCGAUGGAGGUUGAUGCAUUUGACAGCCCUGCGUACAAUUCUAGAGACGGAGAUUAAGAAUGUUGUGCAGACUGUGCAUGCCUAAGUAUAAUAUGUCGCAAUCGUUCCCCUUAUUAUUUACCUGGUCAGAACUCAGAACUCAGAAGUAGCUGCGAAAUGCAAAAUGAACUUUCGUCAAUUCAAUCUGCUGCCACGGUCCUGUCCCAUCUGGUGAAGGCUGUGUUUAGUUCAGCGCAAAGUUUGAAUUUUAGUUAAAAUUGAAGAUGAUGUAACUGAAAAGUUAUGUAAAGUUACGUAUG
Non-coding RNA from Oryza sativa Japonica Group (Japanese rice), 3759 nucleotides. Lineage: Eukaryota; Viridiplantae; Streptophyta; Magnoliopsida; Poales; Poaceae. The record is from RefSeq and is a predicted model, not a curated record.